GACGAACGCUGGCGGCGUGCUUAACACAUGCAAGUCGAACGGAAAGGCCCUGCUUUUGUGGGGUGCUCGAGUGGCGAACGGGUGAGUAACACGUGAGUAACCUGCCCUUGACUUUGGGAUAACUUCAGGAAACUGGGGCUAAUACCGGAUAGGAGCUCCUGCUGCAUGGUGGGGGUUGGAAAGUUUCGGCGGUUGGGGAUGGACUCGCGGCUUAUCAGCUUGUUGGUGGGGUAGUGGCUUACCAAGGUUUUGACGGGUAGCCGGCCUGAGAGGGUGACCGGCCACAUUGGGACUGAGAGACGGCGCAGACUCCUACGGGAGGCAGCAGUGGGGAAUAUUGCACAAUGGGCGGAAGCCUGAUGCAGCAACGCCGCGUGCGGGAUGACGGCCUUCGGGUUGUAAACCGCUUUCGCCUGUGACGAAGCGUGAGUGACGGUAAUGGGUAAAGAAGCACCGGCUAACUACGUG
This 468-nucleotide ribosomal RNA is filed under the name uncultured bacterium. Its description in RNAcentral is "partial 16S ribosomal RNA". It matches the Rfam family "Bacterial small subunit ribosomal RNA", at positions 28 to 507 of the family's 1533-position model. The record is from RNAcentral.